AGCCUGGCUCAUCACCAAGGCCCCACUUCUCACUGACAAGACCCGCCCCCUUACAUGGAAGCCACGCCCCUUGCCCAACACCCCACCCCUCGCCCGAGCUGGUGGCACCCUGCCCAUCGCCCCGCCUUUGCCCCCAACUCCUCAACCGCUUACUCCAACCACCCUGGUCUCCAGGCCCAGGAGAGGCCCCAGACACUUCCCCGUGCCUGGUGUCUAACCCCGCAUUCUCCCACACCUCCACUCUCCAGCAUCCUUCAAUGUCACCUCCUCCAGGGAACUCUUCUCUGAACCCAGUCACCCUGAGAUGCUUUCAGCGUCCUGUACCUUCCUUCCAGGCAAAUUUCUUGGUUUAAGCUGGCUUUAGCCCACCGGCCGGAAAAGAGCUAGCUGGGAGAGAAGUGCCUCGCAGACCUGGUGGGGCAGGAGAGGACAGCAAUCUGAGCUCACUGCAUGUCCUCUGGUAGGACUUGAAAUCGGAACGCCAACCCCAGACGGCCCCUUCUGGGCAUGCCCAGAGCUGCGAGUGCAGAGCUGAGGGCACAGUGCCCAGGACAGAGGCUGAGGGAGGGGCUGGCCUGUGCCCGAGGGCCCAUCAGCCCCCAGCCCUGGUCCCCAAGAGGUCAGCCCACCCUUCUGACCCAGGUGCUCAAGGCUAAGAAGCGGCACCUGCUUCCUGGGUGAAGCCCCGUCAGACCCCAGUGUGAUGUUUAGUGACGAGGCCUCAGGAAGAACAGGAAGGAACCCUGCUCUGGGGACUGACUGGAAGAGCCACUCUGCCUUUCCGGGGCCAACCUGGCAACAUGGAGGUUUCCUAGAAACAGAAUGUCGCUGGAAAACCCCCACCACACGCAGUCACUUGCCAGCGUUGUCACCAGGACCACGUGAGAAGGUGCACACCCCGAAGGAGGCGCUCCCGGGGCACCUGGACCCCCCGCCCCGAGGCCCCCAAAUAGUGCAGGCGGCUCAGAGCUGCACCCUGCCAGCACACACGGCCUCCGGAGGGGACGUGAGAAGCCAGUCUUUCCCUUUGUAACCUUUAACAUGCUGCUGUGUUGUCAACGAGACUUCAGUUAAGGAUAAAAAUAAAAAUUAAAUUAAAUGCUGCUGUGGCUUUUUAAAUGUCUGGGUAAAAACCCAGGCGUGCAAGCGCCGCAAG
Long non-coding RNA from Zalophus californianus (California sea lion), 1156 nucleotides. RefSeq lists it as uncharacterized. The record is from RefSeq and is a predicted model, not a curated record. The transcript is spliced from 3 exons. NCBI's taxonomy places the organism in Eukaryota, Metazoa, Chordata, Mammalia, Carnivora, Otariidae.